ACUCAAAUGAAUAGACGGGGGCCCGCACAAGCGGUGGAGCAUGUGGUUUAAUUCGAUGCAACGCGAAGAACCUUACCUACCUUUGAAUCCACGGAAUCUUACAGAGAUGUGAGAGUGCCUUCGGGAACCGUGAGACAGGUGCUGCAUGGCUGUCGUCAGCUCGUGUCGUGAGAUGUUGGGUUAAGUCCCGUAACGAGCGCAACCCUUGUCCUUAGUUACCAGCGAGUCAUGUCGGGGACUUUAAGGAGACUGCCGGUGAUAAACCGGAGGAAGGUGGGGAUGACGUCAAGUCCUCAUGGCCCUUACAGGUAGGGCUACACACGUGCUACAAUGGCCGGUACAAAGGGUUGCCAACCCGCGAGGGGGAGCUAAUCUCAAAAAGCCGGUCGUAGUCCGGAUUGGAGUCUGCAACUCGACUCCAUGAAGCUGGAAUCGCUAGUAAUCGUGGAUCAGAACGCCACGGUGAAUACGUUCCCGGGCCUUGUACACACCGCCCGU
RNAcentral lists this ribosomal RNA (498 nucleotides) under uncultured bacterium. RNAcentral's name for it is "partial 16S ribosomal RNA". It matches the Rfam family "Bacterial small subunit ribosomal RNA", at positions 899 to 1397 of the family's 1533-position model. The record is from RNAcentral.